RNAcentral lists this microRNA precursor (108 nucleotides) under Paramuricea clavata. The record is from RNAcentral. Lineage: Eukaryota; Metazoa; Cnidaria; Anthozoa; Malacalcyonacea; Plexauridae.
GAACGGAACGGGUAUGGGGUUAAAAUGCGGACCGGAACGAAUAUGAGGUUAAAACUUAAUUUAAAACCUAUAUCCGUUCCGCAUUUUAACCCCAUAUCCGUUCCGUUC